Molecule: ribosomal RNA, 253 nt
Filed under: uncultured bacterium
Lineage: Bacteria
Description: partial 16S ribosomal RNA
Rfam family: Bacterial small subunit ribosomal RNA
Source: RNAcentral
AACGGAGGGUGCAAGCGUUGUUCGGAAUUACUGGGCGUAAAGCGCGUGCAGGUGGCUUUUUAAGUUUCGUGUGAAAUCCCUCGGCUUAACCGGGGAACGGCACGGAAAACUGGAAGGCUUGAGGAUGGGAGAAGAGGGCGGAAUUCCCAGUGUAGAGGUGAAAUUCGUAGAUAUUAGGAAGAACACCAGUGGCGAAGGCGGCUCACUGGCUCGGUACUGACGCUGAGGCGCGAAAGCGUGGGGAGCAAACAGG